GCCACGGUGGUCUAGCGGUUAUAAUGCUGGCCUUGUAAUCCUGGAGUCUCGGGUUCGAUUCCCGGCGGUGCCC
This 73-nucleotide transfer RNA is filed under the name Zootermopsis nevadensis. It matches the Rfam family "tRNA". Rfam says of the family: Transfer RNA (tRNA) molecules are approximately 80 nucleotides in length. The record is from Rfam by way of RNAcentral. Lineage: Eukaryota; Metazoa; Arthropoda; Insecta; Blattodea; Termopsidae.